Long non-coding RNA from Xenopus tropicalis (tropical clawed frog), 396 nucleotides. RefSeq lists it as uncharacterized. Lineage: Eukaryota; Metazoa; Chordata; Amphibia; Anura; Pipidae. The transcript has 3 exons. The record is from RefSeq and is a predicted model, not a curated record.
AUCAGUUACCAGCCGUUAGCCAAUCAGAGUGGGGCUUUCAUGUGAGCGCUGCUGCCUGCACUUGUGUGUAAGUCGCCCUGGAGCAGCCGGACCUGUGUCAUGGGGCAGAAUCAGAGAGCAGCUUUCAUUCAGAGGGACCCUGAUGGGGAAGGAGAUCUCCCGGCCCAUUCACUUUGCAUCUACUAUUCUAUCUGUACAUGUCCAACCGCCCAAGGAUCUCUGGGUACCAUGUCGUAUCCAUGGGGGACACCGCCGGCAACAAUCCCUCAUUUCUAUCCUUUCCCAACAGCUGGACAAUAGUGAGGAGGAACCGGAGUGGAGCUGAAGAUCCGCCAAGCGGGAGACUAUGGUUCUGGUUCCUCCAACCUCUGGAGCAGAAUUCGUCAACUCUUAAGC